This 481-nucleotide ribosomal RNA is filed under the name uncultured bacterium. Its description in RNAcentral is "bacterial SSU rRNA". It matches the Rfam family "Bacterial small subunit ribosomal RNA", at positions 501 to 981 of the family's 1533-position model. The record is from RNAcentral.
CUACGUGCCAGCAGCCGCGGUAAUACGUAGGUCCCGAGCGUUGUCCGGAUUUAUUGGGCGUAAAGCGAGCGCAGGCGGUUAGAUAAGUCUGAAGUUAAAGGCUGUGGCUUAACCAUAGUACGCUUUGGAAACUGUUUAACUUGAGUGCAAGAGGGGAGAGUGGAAUUCCAUGUGUAGCGGUGAAAUGCGUAGAUAUAUGGAGGAACACCGGUGGCGAAAGCGUCUCUCUGGCUUGUAACUGACGCUGAGGCUCGAAAGCCAGGGGAGCGAACGGGAUUAGAUACCCCGGUAGUCCUGGCCGUAAACGAUGGGUACUAGGUGUAGGAGGUAUCGACCCCUUCUGUGCCGGAGUUAACGCAAUAAGUACCCCGCCUGGGGAGUACGACCGCAAGGUUGAAACUCAAAGGAAUUGACGGGGGCCCGCACAAGCGGUGGAGUAUGUGGUUUAAUUCGACGCAACGCGAAGAACCUUACCAGGUCU